AUUGAACGCUUGCGGCAGGCCUAACACAUGCAAGUCGAACGAGUGGCGGACGGGUGAGUAAUGUCUGGGAAACUGCCCGAUGGAGGGGGAUAACUACUGGAAACGGUAGCUAAUACCGCAUACCAUCGGAUGUGCCCAGAUGGGAUUAGCUAGUAGGUGGGGUAAAGGCUCACCUAGGCGACGAUCCCUAGCUGGUCUGAGAGGAUGACCAGCCACAAUGGAACUGAGACACGGUCCAGACUCCUACGGGAGGCAGCAGUGGGGAAUAUUGCACAAUGGGCGCAAGCCUGAUGCAGCCAUGCCGCGUGUAUGAAGAAGGCCUUCGGGUUGUAAAGUACUUUCAGCGGGGAGGCGUUACCCGCAGAAGAAGCACCGGCUAACUCCGUGCCAGCAGCCGCGGUAAUUC
Molecule: ribosomal RNA, 406 nt
Filed under: uncultured bacterium
Lineage: Bacteria
Description: partial 16S ribosomal RNA
Rfam family: Bacterial small subunit ribosomal RNA
Source: RNAcentral